UCUGUCGAAUUGAGAGGUUCUCAGUUCACUACAUUAUUACUUCAGUACUGUUAAUCAUCUAUUUACAGCUUGAAACCAUGAAAUUCAUUUCUUAUUAUUUUAUCUUGUUCUUCUUGAGCAUCCUGAUCUAUCCAUCUUUUCAGACUGCUUGCUCCGCCCAAAAACCUUGUCUAAAAAAUUCUGAUUUGUGUGUUGGAGGACAAUGCGUUAAUGACGGAGACCUUGCAAAAUGAACGUCAGUGAAUCUGGAGGAUGAUUCUAUAAUUUGAAUUACCCGAACUAAUCGUUUACUUUUAUUGUCACUGUUAUACGAAAUUGUGAGCUGAAAAAUAGAUCCUGUGAUGUAAAAUGAAUAAAGAAGCAUUUAUUAAUAAUAUCUAAA
Molecule: long non-coding RNA, 382 nt
Organism: Tetranychus urticae (two-spotted spider mite)
Lineage: Eukaryota; Metazoa; Arthropoda; Arachnida; Trombidiformes; Tetranychidae
Source: RefSeq, a predicted model, not a curated record